AAUCGUGCCAAUAAAUAAAUCUGUUGCCACGGAUCUUGAAAAAAAAAAUGCAAUGGGAACAGUUGUUAUUUCCUUCCUAAAAUUUUUGCCCCUUGAAUUUUCGUAAAACUCGCGCUAGAAUCCCUAUUUUUACACAAAUUUCUUUUUGUCUUAAUUAAUUUCUAUACCUAAUAAAAUUAGAAAAAACUAAUGGCUAUCGAAAGGCCAUCCCUCUCAAAAGGGACUUCACCGAGAACGACGACUCUGUAACAAACAUCGGAAGGCAGCCAUCAACCGCCGACUCUGCCACCAUCCCGCCAACUCUGCCACCAUCCCGCCGUCAACGUCUGCAGUAGAACCUCCGACUAUGUAACAGAUAUGGCCGUCAACAACCACCUCCUUCUACAGCCGUCACCAACAACCACCAUCCUGCCGUCAACAAAAUAUUUCAUACUCUUUGACUAGUUCCAAGAUUUGAUUUUCUUUUUUCUUCACCCAUAAACUUUAUCUCCUCCACCUGAAACAACCACCUCCUCCUAUUAAUCCAAGCUCCACACUUUCAAAUAGCCACAAAAUUUUAGGGUUUUUUCUCGACUAAGAUCGACCACCUCCUUUUGCAAUUUCUCUAUAGUUGAGCCAUAAUUUGCAGAUUCCAUUAGUGAGGAAGAAAUUGCAACUGAUAGCUGUGGGAUAAAUCGCGGUCCUUAGCAGAUUUGGAGUAGAUGACACUAUCCCCUAUGUCUUUGGACAGUGAGUUGAGCAGCCAGGAUGUGACCAUGUCAUUGCAUCUACUCCAGGGCUGGAAAUCCUUUGAAUCAGCAGCUGGAGCAGGGCAAGCACCAUUGAUGAAUCCUAUUUUGUUCUUGGAUGAAAGGGCUAUGAGAACUGACCUUCUCCAGCCUUGAAAACCUCUACCAUCAAAGGCAGAAUUGACAAGCGACAUUCCUGGUGCAUCAGAGGAAUGAAGAAAGUAAGCAAUUUGAGUCAAUGAUGGUUGCUGCACCAGUAGUUGCCUGGGUGAUCGUUUGCUCAGUGUUAUCAGGAAUGAUUCAAGAUUUGCACAGAUCAAGCAAAGAAGAAGAUGAUGGAUCGAGCUGCUAUUGCUCUGAUACCAUGAAAGAAUUCAAAGGAGAAAGCAGUAGAGAAAUUUUCUGUGUAUUUUUAUUCAAUGCUGUAUACCUAUUUAUACAAAUAAAAGGAAUCAAAAUUGGUUAUGCUACUGUACAGGUGUAAUCUUCCUAUUGGUCUACUCCUAACUAAAUACAUAUCUGUAUAGAAUAUAAAGAAACAGAAUUUUCUACACUA
Nicotiana tabacum (common tobacco) is the source of this 1284-nucleotide non-coding RNA. Lineage: Eukaryota; Viridiplantae; Streptophyta; Magnoliopsida; Solanales; Solanaceae. The record is from RefSeq and is a predicted model, not a curated record.